GACGAACGCUGGUGGCGUGCCUAAUACAUGCAAGUCGAGCGGACCAAUAGAAGCUUGCUUCUGUUGGUUAGCGGCGGACGGGUGAGUAACACGUGGGCAACCUGCCUGUAAGACUGGGAUAACUUCGGGAAACCGGAGCUAAUACCGGAUAAUUCAUCCCCUCGCAUGAGGGGAUGUUGAAAGUCGGUUUACGCUGACACUUACAGAUGGGCCCGCGGCGCAUUAGCUAGUUGGUGAGGUAAUGGCUCACCAAGGCGACGAUGCGUAGCCGACCUGAGAGGGUGAUCGGCCACACUGGGACUGAGACACGGCCAGACUCCUACGGGAGGCAGCAGUAGGGAAUCUUCCACAAUGGACGAAAGUCUGAUGGAGCAACGCCGCGUGAGCGAUGAAGGCCUUCGGGUCGUAAAGCUCUGUUGUUAGGGAAGAACAAGUAUCGGAGUAACUGCCGGUACCUUGACGGUACCUAACCAGAAAGCCACGGCUAACUACGUGCCAGCCGCCGCCGUAA
Molecule: ribosomal RNA, 511 nt
Filed under: uncultured bacterium
Lineage: Bacteria
Description: partial 16S ribosomal RNA
Rfam family: Bacterial small subunit ribosomal RNA
Source: RNAcentral